CCUACGCGAGGCUGCAGUGGGGAAUAUUGCACAAUGGGGGAAACCCUGAUGCAGCGACGCCGCGUGAGUGAAGAAGUAUUUCGGUAUGUAAAGCUCUAUCAGCAGGGAAGAAAUAGCGACCUUUGGGUCGCCAGACGGUACCUGGUUACUAAGCCCCGGCUAACUACGUGCCAGCAGCCGCGGUAAUACGUAGGGGGCAAGCGUUAUCCGGAUUUACUGGGUGUAAAGGGAGCGUAGACGGCAGCGCAAGUCUGAAGUGAAAUGCCGGGGCUUAACCCCGGAACUGCAUUGGAAACUGUGCAGCUAGAGUGCAGGAGAGGUAAGUGGAAUUCCUAGUGUAGCGGUGAAAUGCGUAGAUAUUAGGAGGAACACCAGUGGCGAAGGCGGCUUACUGGACUGUAACUGACGUUGAGGCGCGAAAGCGUGGGGAGCAAACAGGAUUAGAUACCCUUGUAGUC
Molecule: ribosomal RNA, 458 nt
Filed under: uncultured bacterium
Lineage: Bacteria
Description: partial 16S ribosomal RNA
Rfam family: Bacterial small subunit ribosomal RNA
Source: RNAcentral